This 498-nucleotide ribosomal RNA is filed under the name uncultured bacterium. Its description in RNAcentral is "partial 16S ribosomal RNA". It matches the Rfam family "Bacterial small subunit ribosomal RNA", at positions 30 to 523 of the family's 1533-position model. The record is from RNAcentral.
AUUGAACGCUGGCGGCAUGCCUUACACAUGCAAGUCGAACGGUAACAGGUCUUCGGAUGCUGACGAGUGGCGAACGGGUGAGUAAUACAUCGGAACGUGCCUAGUAGUGGGGGAUAACUACUCGAAAGAGCGGCUAAUACCGCCUGAGAUCUACGGAUGAAAGCAGGGGAUUGCAAGACCUUGUGCUACUAGAGCGGCCGAUGGCAAAUUAGGUAGUUGGUGGGAUAAAAGCUUACCAAGCCGACGAUCUGUAGCUGGUCUGAGAGGACGAUCAGCCACACUGGGACUGAGACACGGCCCAGACUCCUACGGGAGGCAGCAGUGGGGAAUUUUGGACAAUGGGCGAAAGCCUGAUCCAGCAAUGCCGCGUGCAGGAUGAAGGCCUUCGGGUUGUAAACUGCUUUUGUACGGAACGAAAAGCCCCGGGUUAAUACCCUGGGGUCAUGACGGUACCGUAAGAAUAAGCACCGGCUAACUACGUGCCAGCAGCCGCGGUAA